Petromyzon marinus (sea lamprey) is the source of this 1029-nucleotide long non-coding RNA. RefSeq lists it as uncharacterized. The record is from RefSeq and is a predicted model, not a curated record. NCBI's taxonomy places the organism in Eukaryota, Metazoa, Chordata, Hyperoartia, Petromyzontiformes, Petromyzontidae.
AAGAAGAAGAGGAAUUUAAAAAACGUUCCGGGUUGCCAUUUUUUUACUUUCACGGCCCUUAGCAACGAAGGCAACAGCCUGCGGCUCGCCUAGAAGCAAACCCCACCACCACCACCACCCCCCACCACAAAAAUCGCUGCAAUCGUUUAAAUUAACAAAAAAUUAACGAGCAAGUAAGGCGCCGGAGUCACACGGAAGGCGUCUUUGAUCGGAGACAGCCGCGGGGAGUUUUAGUCGGAGUCGCCAUGGGGGACCUGAGCCAGCAGAAUCUGGGCAUCACCCUGGGAGUCUUCAUCUCCCUGCUGAUGACGAUGGUGGUGUUGGUUCUGUACGUUUACCGCCCGCUGAGGCCGGGGGCCUAACCUCGUCACGGCCGACACCUCCUCAGCCUCCUCUUCCUCGUCAUUACACCUCCUCUGCCAACAAAAACUUAAACAUUUUCUGACAAAGGGAUUCAUGUUUGUAGCAUUAACCACACAAUACCUGCAGUCAAAAUGCCAACAAAAAAAAACAUUAAUAUGAUCAUACACGAUGGGUGGCAUUGUCCUCGACACUGAUUGGUCCACAGCAAAGGGGGGACGGCUUUCUCUUUAGCCUCCAGCCAAGUGGUGUUAGACCACCAGAUGACGACUCCAAAAGGCGUUCACACAGCUCAGAGACAACACCGCUAGCAGAGUAACGAGGGGCUCGGGGUGAGCAUCCACAUCAUCAUUAGAACUCCUUUGCCCAGUACCAAUAUGUAAUAAUAAUAAUUACAGUGUUUCCCCCCUUGUUUCUACCAACAAAACUGAAACUUUUUGACAAGGGGAUUCAUGUUGUAGCAUUAACCCACUAAUACCUGCAGUGAAAAAUGCAAACACAAAACAACACACACACACACACAACCUUGGUGUUAGCUCGACUUUGAACCAUUGUUAUAGUAAGAACUUAUCCUUGGUUCUUUCGGUAAAGUCACGUUGAAGGGGAACAAUAAAAUAAUAAAAAAAAAUAUAUAAAACAAUAAAAAUUCUCACGACGUUUCGACUUUGA